CACGUAGGGUGCGAGCGUUGUCCGGAAUUAUUGGGCGUAAAGAGCUCGUAGGCGGUUUGUCGCGUCUGCCGUGAAAGUCCGGGGCUCAACUCCGGAUCUGCGGUGGGUACGGGCAGACUAGAGUGCAGUAGGGGAGACUGGAAUUCCUGGUGUAGCGGUGAAAUGCGCAGAUAUCAGGAGGAACACCGAUGGCGAAGGCAGGUCUCUGGGCUGUAACUGACGCUGAGGAGCGAAAGCGUGGGGAGCGAACAGG
Molecule: ribosomal RNA, 253 nt
Filed under: uncultured bacterium
Lineage: Bacteria
Description: partial 16S ribosomal RNA
Rfam family: Bacterial small subunit ribosomal RNA
Source: RNAcentral